Molecule: ribosomal RNA, 331 nt
Filed under: uncultured eukaryote
Lineage: Eukaryota
Description: partial 18S ribosomal RNA
Source: RNAcentral
UGGGCACCAAUUUGACUCAACACGCAGGGUUCGAUUCCGGAGAGCGGUGGGCACCAAUUUGACUCAACACGCAUGGGUUCGAUUCCGGAGAGCGGUGGGCACCAAUUUGACUCAACACGCAUUCUGACUCAACACGCAAUUUGACUCAACACGCAAUUUGACUCAACACGCAAUUUGACUCAACACGCAAUUUGACUCAACACGCAAUUCGACUCAACACGCAAUUUGACUCAACACGCAAUUUGACUCAACACGCAAUUUGACUCAACACGCAAUUUGACUCAACACGCAUGGGUUCGAUUCCGGAGAGUCUUAACAGUGGAUAAUUUGA